RNAcentral lists this ribosomal RNA (492 nucleotides) under uncultured bacterium. RNAcentral's name for it is "partial 16S ribosomal RNA". It matches the Rfam family "Bacterial small subunit ribosomal RNA", at positions 29 to 507 of the family's 1533-position model. The record is from RNAcentral.
AGUGAACGCUGGCGGUAGGCCUAACACAUGCAAGUCGAACGGCAGCACAGUAAGAGCUUGCUCUUACGGGUGGCGAGUGGCGGACGGGUGAGGAAUACAUCGGAAUCUACUUUUUCGUGGGGGAUAACGUAGGGAAACUUACGCUAAUACCGCAUACGACCUACGGGUGAAAGCAGGGGAUCUUCGGACCUUGCGCGAUUGAAUGAGCCGAUGUCGGAUUAGCUAGUUGGCGGGGUAAAGGCCCACCAAGGCGACGAUCCGUAGCUGGUCUGAGAGGAUGAUCAGCCACACUGGAACUGAGACACGGUCCCGACUCCUACGGGAGGCAGCAGUGGGGAAUAUCGGACAAUGGGCGCAAGCCUGAUCCAGCCAUACCGCGUGGGUGAAGAAGGCCUUCGGGUUGUAAAGCCCUUUUGUUGGGAAAGAAAAGCAGCAGGUUAAUACCCCGCUGUUCUGACGGUACCCAAAGAAUAAGCACCGGCUAACUUCGUG